GCAUGAUCCUACCUAGUGGUGGGUCGAGGCUUCAAACCUCGGGGGGCUUAGCGGCCCCGGGUU
RNAcentral lists this transfer RNA (63 nucleotides) under Ditylum brightwellii. RNAcentral describes it as "partial Selenocysteine transfer RNA". Lineage: Eukaryota; Bacillariophyta; Thalassiosirophyceae; Lithodesmiales; Lithodesmiaceae. The record is from RNAcentral.